GAUGAACGCUGGCGGCGUGCUUAACACAUGCAAGUCGAACGGUGAAGCAGGAGCUUGCUCUUGUGGAUCAGUGGCGAACGGGUGAGUAACACGUGAGCAACCUGCCCCUGACUCUGGGAUAAGCGCUGGAAACGGCGUCUAAUACUGGAUAUGUGAUGUGACCGCAUGGUCUGCAUCUGGAAAGAAUUUCGGUUGGGGAUGGGCUCGCGGCCUAUCAGCUUGUUGGUGAGGUAAUGGCUCACCAAGGCGUCGACGGGUAGCCGGCCUGAGAGGGUGACCGGCCACACUGGGACGGAGACACGGGCCAGACUCCUACGGGAGGCAGCUGUGGGGAAUAUUGCACAAUGGGCGGAAGCCUGAUGCAGCAACGCCGCGUGAGGGAUGACGGCCUUCGGGUUGUAAACCUCUUUUAGCAGGGAAGAAGCGAAAGUGACGGUACCUGCAGAAAAAGCACCGGCUAACUACGUGCCAGCCGCCGCAGUAA
Molecule: ribosomal RNA, 484 nt
Filed under: uncultured bacterium
Lineage: Bacteria
Description: partial 16S ribosomal RNA
Rfam family: Bacterial small subunit ribosomal RNA
Source: RNAcentral